RNAcentral lists this ribosomal RNA (609 nucleotides) under Pseudomonas synxantha. RNAcentral's name for it is "bacterial SSU rRNA". Lineage: Bacteria; Pseudomonadati; Pseudomonadota; Gammaproteobacteria; Pseudomonadales; Pseudomonadaceae. The record is from RNAcentral.
GUCGAGCGGUAGAGAGAAGCUUGCUUCUCUUGAGAGCGGCGGACGGGUGAGUAAUGCCUAGGAAUCUGCCUGGUAGUGGGGGAUAACGUUCGGAAACGGACGCUAAUACCGCAUACGUCCYACGGGAGAAAGCAGGGGACCUUCGGGCCUUGCGCUAUCAGAUGAGCCUAGGUCGGAUUAGCUAGUUGGUGGGGUAAUGGCUCACCAAGGCGACGAUCCGUAACUGGUCUGAGAGGAUGAUCAGUCACACUGGAACUGAGACACGGUCCAGACUCCUACGGGAGGCAGCAGUGGGGAAUAUUGGACAAUGGGCGAAAGCCUGAUCCAGCCAUGCCGCGUGUGUGAAGAAGGUCUUCGGAUUGUAAAGCACUUUAAGUUGGGAGGAAGGGUUGUAGAUUAAUACUCUGCAAUUUUGACGUUACCGACAGAAUAAGCACCGGCUAACUCUGUGCCAGCAGCCGCGGUAAUACAGAGGGUGCAAGCGUUAAUCGGAAUUACUGGGCGUAAAGCGCGCGUAGGUGGUUUGUUAAGUUGGAUGUGAAAUCCCCGGGCUCAACCUGGGAACUGCAUUCAAAACUGACUGACUAGAGUAUGGUAGAGGGUGGUGGA